This is a non-coding RNA of Schizosaccharomyces pombe (fission yeast), 944 nucleotides long. NCBI's taxonomy places the organism in Eukaryota, Fungi, Ascomycota, Schizosaccharomycetes, Schizosaccharomycetales, Schizosaccharomycetaceae. The record is from the annotation of a GenBank genome assembly.
AAAAUUCAUUAGAUGCAGUAUUGGCUGAGUCCUUUCUAAUCUAAUUAAAGAGACCUGCUCGUAAAAAAUGUGUUUGACUCGCUUCAAAGCAACCUUUAAGUUUUUUACACUGUCGCAUCGAACAUAAAAGGCCUGAAAGAAUGAAAUGUAAGCAUCCUGUAAAAAGAAAUUACUUAAAAUACAUACAGCUAACUUGGGCAGAUAGUGGAUAUAACAUUGGCAAUCCACACGGACUUGAUUGAAUAAAGUAAGAUUUUCUCCACCGAAAAAUUCGUAAACGUCCAAAUCAUCUGAAGGUAAUGUGAAUAAACCCUAAUAAUCGUCAAGUUAUUAUAAAUGAGCUCAAUAUGUAAAUAUUACCUCUGCACGAAAUGACAAAGAAGGAUCCACAUUGAGUAAAUAUUUUUUUAAAAUCAAAGCAUCGCGUUUCUUCUUUCUUACUAAAGCAGCUUCUUGACUUGGAAAAUCUUUUCGGGGAUUUCUGUACCAUUUGGAAGCUGCCUUUGUCUCGCCUUCACGAGUAUGGGAGUUGUAAAGUGUUUGCAGUGCCUUGGUAGCCAAGUCAAACAUUUGUGGGGUUUCAUAAUAUAUGAAAAUAGCCUGUAGUAAUAUAUGCUAAUUAGAAAUGCAAUCAAUGAAUGGAUAACCCCAAACAAACCUACACUUGAGUGCUCUUCAUACUGAAUUAAUGAAGAGGUUCUUCUUUGAAUUUUCGAAAUCUCAGUUUUAUACCUCAAAAAAAAUUUGUUAAAUUCAUAAAGGGUUCUGAACGUAGGAUAUGAACAUUCGCCUAGGUGAAAAGCAAUAUAUUAGUCAAAGCUCCCAGUACAUUCAAUGAGCAUUUCAUACGUUUUUUUCUUAUUGAAAAUUUCUUAUUUUCUGCCAUUGCAUGUUUUUUUCUCUGAAGUCGACUGCUCUUGAAUUCCAAUCUGUCAGCAAAUCAU